GAUGAACGCUGGCGGCGUGCCUAAUACAUGCAAGUCGAGCGAACGGACGAGAAGCUUGCUUCUCUGAUGUUAGCGGCGGACGGGUGAGUAACACGUGGAUAACCUACCUAUAAGACUGGGAUAACUUCGGGAAACCGGAGCUAAUACCGGAUAAUAUUUUGAACCGCAUGGUUCAAAAGUGAAAGACGGUCUUGCUGUCACUUAUAGAUGGAUCCGCGCUGCAUUAGCUAGUUGGUAAGGUAACGGCUUACCAAGGCAACGAUGCAUAGCCGACCUGAGAGGGUGAUCGGCCACACUGGAACUGAGACACGGUCCAGACUCCUACGGGAGGCAGCAGUAGGGAAUCUUCCGCAAUGGGCGAAAGCCUGACGGAGCAACGCCGCGUGAGUGAUGAAGGUCUUCGGAUCGUAAAACUCUGUUAUUAGGGAAGAACAUAUGUGUAAGUAACUGUGCACAUCUUGACGGUACCUAAUCAGAAAGCCACGGCUAACUACGUGCCAGCAGCCGCGGUAAUACGUAGGUGGCAAGCGUUAUCCGGAAUUAUUGGGCGUAAAGCGCGCGUAGGCGGUUUUUUAAGUCUGAUGUGAAAGCCCACGGCUCAACCGUGGAGGGUCAUUGGAAACUGGAAAACUUGAGUGCAGAAGAGGAAAGUGGAAUUCCAUGUGUAGCGGUGAAAUGCGCAGAGAUAUGGAGGAACACCAGUGGCGAAGGCGACUUUCUGGUCUGUAACUGACGCUGAUGUGCGAAAGCGUGGGGAUCAAACAGGAUUAGAUACCCUGGUAGUCCACGCCGUAAACGAUGAGUGCUAAGUGUUAGGGGGUUUCCGCCCCUUAGUGCUGCAGCUAACGCAUUAAGCACUCCGCCUGGGGAGUACGACCGCAAGGUUGAAACUCAAAGGAAUUGACGGGGACCCGCACAAGCGGUGGAGCAUGUGGUUUAAUUCGAAGCAACGCGAAGAACCUUACCAAAUCUUGACAUCCUUUGACAACUCUAGAGAUAGAGCUUUCCCCUUCGGGGGACAAAGUGACAGGUGGUGCAUGGUUGUCGUCAGCUCGUGUCGUGAGAUGUUGGGUUAAGUCCCGCAACGAGCGCAACCCUUAAGCUUAGUUGCCAUCAUUAAGUUGGGCACUCUAAGUUGACUGCCGGUGACAAACCGGAGGAAGGUGGGGAUGACGUCAAAUCAUCAUGCCCCUUAUGAUUUGGGCUACACACGUGCUACAAUGGACAAUACAAAGGGCAGCGAAACCGUGAGGUCAAGCAAAUCCCACAAAGUUGUUCUCAGUUCGGAUUGUAGUCUGCAACUCGACUACAUGAAGCUGGAAUCGCUAGUAAUCGUAGAUCAGCAUGCUACGGUGAAUACGUUCCCGGGUCU
This 1372-nucleotide ribosomal RNA is filed under the name uncultured bacterium. RNAcentral's name for it is "bacterial SSU rRNA". It matches the Rfam family "Bacterial small subunit ribosomal RNA", at positions 28 to 1381 of the family's 1533-position model. The record is from RNAcentral.